CUCACCUCCCUGCCUGGCCUGGGCAGCCACGAGCAGCCCAAGCGUUUUGGAGACACCAGCAGGACCCGAGGCUUUUGGGCACUUCCCUGCAGAUUCACUGUUGCCUGGUAUGAGCUGGAGCUUCUCCCCCGGAAAAUAACCCACCUCCCCUAUCGCCCUCCUUUAUUUUGUAACCAGCCAGUGGGUUGGGCUGUGCUGGGGUGGGGUAGAAACCACGCUCAGCACCCCGCGAUUCCCCCUAGGAACACCGUAACUCCCUGCAGCGAUGUGCCUGGCACUGGCUGCUGCCUGCACAGGCGGGGCUGCAUCACCCCCGGAGCUCACCCAGCCCUUUUCUUCGCAUUUUAGGAAGCUCCUAAAGGUGUCCUCUCCCGACUUCUUGCCCAGAGACCAGCCCUUCACCAUGCAGUUUCCUGGCCCGCCCUCUCCACCCGGGUCUCCUGCCCUCCCUGGGCUCUCUCCGCCCGGAUCUCCUCCUGCCCGCUCCAGGCGCUCCGAUAUCAUCCCCUACACGCCGCCGCCGUCCCCCGGCCUCACGGGCCGCCUGCCCCCCAUCGUCAAACAGUACCAGGAGCGCGGCCAAAGGGAGCAGGCAGAGGGGUAUUCCCGCAGAUCCCCCAUGUACUGUGGGGGCCGGCACACCAGCAUCUGCCCAGUGCAGCCGAUGGAGCCCCUCCUCCCAGACCCCAGCAAGCCCGGCGUGUUUGACCUGGUGGGCAGGGAUGGAAUCGUCUACCGGGGCCGGCAGUGCAGGAGGACUCCUAUGGGGUCCUGGAUGGAAGGAGCAACCUAUUCCAAUCUGCAGUAAAGAGCUACAAGCAGCCAAGCACCUGUGCUUCCUGAGUGAAGUGGCCUUGGAUCAGGAUCUUUCCUUCUUGAACAAGGAGGGGCUGCUGGAGGAGCUGAUAACUCCAGGGUCUGUGUCAGCCCCGUGCUCCCUCUGACACCCCCUGGCCCCUGCCAGGGGACCCUUUGGCCCCAAAGGAGGUCUGGGGGGGCCGAGUGGUGCCGCAGAAGGAGGAUGUUCCUUUGCCUCCAGGGAGGCAGUGGGAAAGGGGGGGUCUCAGUGGGAAGAGCAGCAGCAGGACACGGUUUAAUGUCAAAAGCGAAUCCCACCCCAAGCCCGCUGGUUUGCUAUCGAUUAUCCCAUUGAGCAUCACCGGGCUGCUUUCUUUAUCUCCAAGCGAAGGAAGCCCCUUGUCCCUCUCCCCUUUGUCACCCCCUCCGUCCCUCUCCAGCGCUGCCAUCAACAGAAAGAGGAAGGCACGAGGAAGCCCCGCUGCUUCCCACCUCCAGACGCGAGGGGCAGCUGUAACCUGUCCUUGCCACCACCUGGGGGAACACGACCCGCCGCUCCUU
This 1359-nucleotide long non-coding RNA is filed under the name Manacus vitellinus (golden-collared manakin). RNAcentral's name for it is "lncRNA (ENSMVIG00005000086.1)". Lineage: Eukaryota; Metazoa; Chordata; Aves; Passeriformes; Pipridae. The record is from RNAcentral.